UACAGAGGGUGCGAGCGUUGUCCGGAAUCACUGGGCGUAAAGGGCGCGUAGGCGGUCCGGUAAGCGUGCGGUGAAAGCCCGGGGCUCAACCCCGGGUCGGCCGUGCGAACUGCGGGACUGGAGCUUGUCAGAGGCAGGCGGAAUUCCGGGUGUAGCGGUGGAAUGCGUAGAGAUCCGGAAGAACACCGGUGGCGAAGGCAGCCCCCUGGGCUGACACUGACGCUCAGGCACGAAAGCGUGGGGAGCAAACGGG
RNAcentral lists this ribosomal RNA (253 nucleotides) under uncultured bacterium. Its description in RNAcentral is "partial 16S ribosomal RNA". It matches the Rfam family "Bacterial small subunit ribosomal RNA", at positions 524 to 776 of the family's 1533-position model. The record is from RNAcentral.